This 1715-nucleotide non-coding RNA is filed under the name Pongo abelii (Sumatran orangutan). Lineage: Eukaryota; Metazoa; Chordata; Mammalia; Primates; Hominidae. The record is from RNAcentral.
AAGAUGGUCCAACCUGUAUUUUUUAAAAUUCUAACAGGAGAAAUCAUUUAAAAUUUUGCCUUUUCACAAUGGCAAAAAGGAAAGAAUUUGAACAUAAUAUUUAAUUUUUAAAAAAAUUCAGCCUGACUCAGACCCUGAAGAUUAUCGAAAGAACAUCUUCACUAUUAAAAUGAUGACAGGCCCAAAUGGGGAAUUGUUUAACCAGUUUUCCUAAGUUAAACCAAGAAUAAGCCACAAAUAUUCAAUUGUGUUACAACUUAGAUCUGAGACAUUUACAUCAAAGCAUACUUCCCUGAACAUGUUCACAUUUAAAAUGCUUAAGGUCUUAUUAUUAAAUCCAAAAUACCAAAAGUAUUGGAGGAGCUAGUUAUAUACAAUAUUGGCACAGCGUCUUUAAGCAAUAAUAAAAAAUUUCAUUUUGUCACCUUAAGUCAAGAUCCAUUUAUCUAUUAAUAGGUUAAGUUUGAAAUUCUGUAACAUAUUCUAGAAGCACCUACAUCCAUUAUUUCCAGGAGACUAGUUUACUAUUAUCAUGCAAUCUCUGAGGUCAUAUGAGUCUAAAAUGAAGGGAAUUGCUGAACAGGCCCUUUUGCUGUUGAGAUAUGAAGCCUCAAAUCUUUGCCUCUGAAGAUGGAAUUCAAUGUGGUGUGUGUAAUCACAAGUAAAAACUUGAGCUAGGGAGGAACCUUGGAUAUUCAGUCUAAAUCUCAAAUAGCAUAGCUGCCAAAAAUGAGGCCUGUCCAUUAAAGUGGAGGAGAUAUCUUUGCUGAUGGCAAGAACUGCUUUUUCUUUUUGACACGGAGUCUUGCUCUGUCGCCCAGGCUGCAGUGCAGUGGUGCCAUCUCGGCUCACUGCAACCUCCGCCUCCCGAGUUCAAGUAAUUCUCUGCCUCAGCCUCACGAGUAGCUGACAGGCGCCCGCCUCUACGCCCGGCUAAUUUUUGUAUUUUUAGUAGAGAUGGGGCUGCAAUGAGCCAAGAUGGCACCACUGUACACUCCAGCCUGGGUGACAGAGUGAGACUCUGUCUUUAAAAAAAAAAAAAAAAAAAAAAAAAGAAGGAACAUUAACUGCAAUAUUCUUGAUGAUGCAAAUUUUUAAAAACUAAAUCCAGCCAGAUUUUUCAGCCUUAAAAACUCAGAUCCAAACUAUUCAACGUCUCUACAAAUUACAUACUCAUUGAACUCAGGAACAAUAACAGAAUUAAACAAAUAAUCAGCUCAACUUAAACUGCAAGUAAACAAAUACAUUUAGCAACUACAGCCCCUAUUAUUAGAAAGCAAAGGUGUAACCAUGAAGGUAAUUGUGGUAGUGAGGCUACUCUGUCGCCAUUUGUUUAUGUGUAUAAUUAACCACAAGGGUUAAAUAGUUUUUAGUUGCUGAGUAAAUAUUUAAUUAUGGGAACUGCUUUAAACUGCUCUUCAUAAACUUUAAGAACAUUAAAAUAAAUGUAAUUUUAAAAUAUGUUAAGACCAUAGAAUUCCUGUGGUCUGUAUGCCUCUGACUACUAUAAUAACUUUUAAGUAGAGGAGACAGUCUCUCACAUAUUUAAGGUUAUUUUUAUGCAUAAUAGAAUUGCUUUCUUCUGACUAACCUACAUGGCAAACUUUCCCCAACCCUCUUUUUCUGGAAAUGAAUACAUUCCUUUAUUCUUUUCUCAAAGAGCUGUGCUUUAUGAAGUGAUAUAAAUAGCCUACAAAUAAACAUUAAUAGCAAAA